AUUGAACGCUGGCGGCAUGCCUUACACAUGCAAGUCGAACGGCAGCGGGGGAGAAGCUUGCUUUUCCUGCCGCCGAGUGGCGAACGGGUGAGUAAUACAUCGGAACGUGCCCUGUAGUGGGGGAUAACUAGUCGAAAGAUUAGCUAAUACCGCAUACGACCUGAGGGUGAAAGUGGGGGACCGCAAGGCCUCAUGCUAUAGGAGCGGCCGAUGUCUGAUUAGCUAGUUGGUGGGGUAAAGGCCUACCAAGGCGACGAUCAGUAGCUGGUCUGAGAGGCCGAUCAGCCACACUGGGACUGAGACACGGCCCAGACUCCCACGGGAGGCAGCAGUGGGGAAUUUUGGACAAUGGGCGAAAGCCUGAUCCAGCAAUGCCGCGUGUGUGAAGAAGGCCUUCGGGUUGUAAAGCACUUUUGUCCGGAAAGAAAUGGCUCUGGUUAAUACCUGGGGUCGAUGACGGUACCGGAAGAAUAAGGACCGGCUAACUACGUGCCAGCCGCCGCAGUAA
Molecule: ribosomal RNA, 508 nt
Filed under: uncultured bacterium
Lineage: Bacteria
Description: partial 16S ribosomal RNA
Rfam family: Bacterial small subunit ribosomal RNA
Source: RNAcentral